GCACAAGCAGUGAGUAUGUGGUUAAUCGAAGCAACGCGAAGAACCUUACCAGGGCUUGACAUCCCUUGAAGCAGCUAGAGAUAGCUGUGUCCUUCGGGACAAGGAGACAGGUGGUGCAUGGUUGUCGUCAGCUCGUGUCGUGAGAUGUUGGGUUAAGUCCCGCAACGAGCGCAACCCCUGUGGUUAGUUGCCAUCAUUCAGUUGGGCACUCUAGCGAGACUGCCGGUAAUAAACCGGAGGAAGGUGGGGAUGACGUCAAAUCAUCAUGCCCCUUAUGACCUGGGCUACACACGUGCUACAAUGGUUGGUACAACGAGUUGCGAGUCGGUGACGGCGAGCUAAUCUCUUAAAGCCAAUCUCAGUUCGGAUUGUAGGCUGCAACUCGCCUACAUGAAGUCGGAAUCGCUAGUAAUCGCGGAUCAGCACACCGCGGUGAAUACGUUCCCGGGCCUU
This 453-nucleotide ribosomal RNA is filed under the name uncultured Streptococcus sp. RNAcentral's name for it is "bacterial SSU rRNA". It matches the Rfam family "Bacterial small subunit ribosomal RNA", at positions 923 to 1382 of the family's 1533-position model. The record is from RNAcentral. Lineage: Bacteria; Bacillati; Bacillota; Bacilli; Lactobacillales; Streptococcaceae.